This 236-nucleotide ribosomal RNA is filed under the name uncultured bacterium. Its description in RNAcentral is "partial 16S ribosomal RNA". It matches the Rfam family "Bacterial small subunit ribosomal RNA", at positions 118 to 351 of the family's 1533-position model. The record is from RNAcentral.
UGAGUAACCUGCCCUUAACUCUGGGAUAAGCCUGGGAAACUGGGUCUAAUACCGGAUAUGACUCCUCAUCGCAUGGGUGGGGGGUGGAAAGCUUUAUUGUGGUUUUGGAUGGACUCGCGGCCUAUCAGCUUGUUGGUGAGGUAAUGGCUCACCAAGGCGACGACGGGUAGCCGGCCUGAGAGGGUGACCGGCCACACUGGGACUGAGACACGGCCCAGACUCCUACGGGGAGGCAG